Molecule: non-coding RNA, 68 nt
Organism: Alloiococcus otitis ATCC 51267
Lineage: Bacteria; Bacillati; Bacillota; Bacilli; Lactobacillales; Carnobacteriaceae
Source: Rfam
CGUUUAGUAGUAACAACGAAUAGUGAGAAGUCAGCCGAGGUCAUAGUAGCUACGUUGUAGCGAAGGAC